CUGUUUCAAGACUAAGCCAUGCACGUCUAGUACAAACUAAAUGAUGGUGAAACUGCAAAUGGCUCAUUACAACGGUUAUGAUGUACCCGGGAGUUCCGAUGGAUAUUUCCAGUAACACUAGAACUAAUACAUGUCCCUGCGUUUAUUAGUUUCGCACAGUCCGUCGCUGAGUCAUGGUAAACAGUUGAUCGACUCGACGUCCCGGAACAGUUUCCGCCCCAUCAGCUUCGAUGGUUGGGUAUUGGCCUACCAUUGCAACAACGGGUAACGAGGAAUUAGGGUUUGAUUUCGGAGAGGGAGCCUGAGAAACGGCUACCACAUCUACGGAUGGCAGCAGGCGCGCAAAUUACCCAAUGCAGACACUGUGAGGUAGUGACGAGAAAUAAUAAAGCGGGACUUCUGUUUCGCUAUUAUAAUGAGGAAUAACCAAAGGUCAUUCCGAUUAGCAACUGAUGGGAAAGUCUGGUGCCAGCAGCCGCGGUAAUACCAGCGUCAGUAGC
Molecule: ribosomal RNA, 500 nt
Filed under: uncultured Myrionecta
Lineage: Eukaryota; Ciliophora; Litostomatea; Cyclotrichida; Mesodiniidae
Description: SSU rRNA
Rfam family: Eukaryotic small subunit ribosomal RNA
Source: RNAcentral